Molecule: ribosomal RNA, 811 nt
Filed under: Chromadorita humila
Lineage: Eukaryota; Metazoa; Nematoda; Chromadorea; Chromadorida; Chromadoridae
Description: partial large subunit ribosomal RNA
Rfam family: Eukaryotic large subunit ribosomal RNA
Source: RNAcentral
UUAUUUCCAAAGAUCCCCGAGGGAAAGUUGCAAAGAACUUUGAAGAGAGAGUUCAAGAGGGCGUGAAACCGCUUAGAAGGAAACGGAUGGAGCAGACGUCAGUCCUUGGGAUUCAGCUUGGCGUAUGUGGAAAGCACUUGUACCUGAUCAAUGUCUCUGACAGGUGGUUUGUGCCGUCACUCCAUGUACCCAGGUGCACUUCCCAGGGAUCGUGUCAAAGGCAGUGAGUGUGUCACGUUGGCCUGCAGUUGGUGGCUCCCGGCUUCGGUUGGGAGUGUCUCGCUGGAGUGUCUAGUGUGGUCGCGCUUACUGUGAAGAUAAGAGUGCCCGACUCUAUCUCGUUGACUGUUGGCAUUUGCGCUGAUGUUGUGCAAGUAACCGGCUUCUGGACUUGCCUCAUUGGUGUAAGUGUUCCCGGCAGGAUUCGAGAGGUGCUCUGCUUUGGCAUCUUGUCUGUUACCCAUCCGACCCGUCUUGAAACACGGACCAAGGAGUCUAACAUGGGCGCGAGUUACUGGGUUGCAAAACCUAAGAGCGUAAUGAAGGUGAAGGCUGGCUUAAGUCAGCUGAUAUGGGAUCCGUGGCUUUGCUGCGGCGCACCAUAGUCCCGCCCUUUGUGCAUUGCCACUGGGGCGGAGAUAGAGCGUGCAUGUUGGGACCCGAAAGAUGGUGAACUAUGCCUGAGCAGGUUGAAGCCAGAGGAAACUCUGGUGGAGGACCGUAGGAGUUCUGACGUGCAAAUCGAUUCCUGGACUUGGGUAUAGGGGCGAAAGACUAAUCGAACUAUCUAGUAGCUGGUUCCCCUUCCAGA